RNAcentral lists this unclassified non-coding RNA (308 nucleotides) under uncultured fungus. Its description in RNAcentral is "sequence contains ITS1". The record is from RNAcentral. Lineage: Eukaryota; Fungi.
AUUGAAGGAAUUGAAAACAAAUCCUGGUGCGUCGGUAUCUGGCUAUCUGAGGUCGCCAAAGGAGGAUGAGCCCAAAGCUGUUCGGUAUAUCGUGAAUGACUCCACGGUGGAAGCGCUAGCUGUAACGCUCGAAGAAAAUCCCAAUGGCGUAAUGGUUGACCGCGACGAGCUUUCCGGUUGGCUUAGGGCGCUGGACAAGGAGGGGCAGCAGGAGGCGCGUGCCUUUUACCUCACCGGAGCUGAUGGGGACAAAGGUUUCGCCACGGAUCGCAUUACGCGUGGUCGCGGGCACUUCGUGGAAUCGGUGU